GCGGACGGGUGAGUAACACGUGGAUAACCUACCUAUAAGACUGGGAUAACUUCGGGAAACCGGAGCUAAUACCGGAUAAUAUUUUGAACCGCAUGGUUCAAAAGUGAAAGACGGUCUUGCUGUCACUUAUAGAUGGAUCCGCGCUGCAUUAGCUAGUUGGUAAGGUAACGGCUUACCAAGGCAACGAUGCAUAGCCGACCUGAGAGGGUGAUCGGCCACACUGGAACUGAGACACGGUCCAGACUCCUACGGGAGGCAGCAGUAGGGAAUCUUCCGCAAUGGGCGAAAGCCUGACGGAGCAACGCCGCGUGAGUGAUGAAGGUCUUCGGAUCGUAAAACUCUGUUAUUAGGGAAGAACAUAUGUGUAAGUAACUGUGCACAUCUUGA
This 387-nucleotide ribosomal RNA is filed under the name Staphylococcus aureus. RNAcentral's name for it is "bacterial SSU rRNA". It matches the Rfam family "Bacterial small subunit ribosomal RNA", at positions 98 to 472 of the family's 1533-position model. Lineage: Bacteria; Bacillati; Bacillota; Bacilli; Caryophanales; Staphylococcaceae. The record is from RNAcentral.